AAUUGAUCCCCGUAUGUUGACGUUUGUGGGCGGGAUGUUACAGAGCGGGAUUGCAAUAAUUUCGCGGGAAAUUGAAAAAAAGAAAGUACAUUUGAACGGAUUUGUUUUUGUUUUUUUGUAUUUUGCUUCGGGUAGCUAGAUUCUGUUUUGUCGACUCGACAAUGUCUGAAGACUCAUCCAUUGCAUCGGGUAGCGCCUUCAAUCUGUCAGAUCGUGAGAUGCUGGAAGAAAUUGAAGUGCAGAUAGAUGACGCAAGCAUGUCAUUGACGCACAUGCUUCGUGCGUCGUCGAUAAUAUCCACGCAGGUGAAAGACUUGGCUGCGAAAUGUUCUGCUAACGCCCAGUUUCUGAAGGCAUGGAGAGACCUGCUGAAGGACGGACAUUGUGAUGUCACCACGCCAUCAGCUGCAGACAACUGAUGAAAGUUGAAGGAACCUCCAAUCAACCAACUUUGUAAAUUUGAUGGACUUUGAUGGAUUAAACCGCUUGUGCCGUGUUUAAAAAAAAACAAAAACAAAAACAAAAAAACUGGUUAUUACUGACUUCAAAGGAAGUGUCUUUCCAAAAGUUCAAAUUAUAAAAAAUAAAAUAAAAAUAAAUUGGAUCUCAGAGGGUGCUUGAACUUUUACUUAACAUGCAUUUUCCCGUUGCCUGCUGCCAGUAACCAGAAUUAGCAAACAUGCUGUAUAAUUUGCCUAAAAAUACUGUGAAUUAUUAAAAACAGAAAUAGAUACGAAUUUA
Molecule: long non-coding RNA, 741 nt
Organism: Anguilla anguilla (European eel)
Lineage: Eukaryota; Metazoa; Chordata; Actinopteri; Anguilliformes; Anguillidae
Exons: 2
Source: RefSeq, a predicted model, not a curated record